This 424-nucleotide ribosomal RNA is filed under the name uncultured Bacteroides sp. Its description in RNAcentral is "bacterial SSU rRNA". It matches the Rfam family "Bacterial small subunit ribosomal RNA", at positions 355 to 776 of the family's 1533-position model. The record is from RNAcentral. Lineage: Bacteria; Pseudomonadati; Bacteroidota; Bacteroidia; Bacteroidales; Bacteroidaceae.
UGAGGAAUAUUGGUCAAUGGGCGAGAGCCUGAACCAGCCAAGUAGCGUGGAGGAUGACUGCCCUACGGGUUGUAAACUCCUUUUAUAAGGGAAUAAAGGCGCGUACGUGUACGCAUUUGCAUGUACCUUAUGAAUAAGCAUCGGCUAACUCCGUGCCAGCAGCCGCGGUAAUACGGAGGAUGCGAGCGUUAUCCGGAUUUAUUGGGUUUAAAGGGAGCGUAGACGGGAUGUCAAGUCAGCUGUGAAAGUUUGCGGCUCAACCGUAAAAUUGCAGUUGAAACUGGCUUUCUUGAGUGCGUUCGAGGCAGGCGGAAUUCGUGGUGUAGCGGUGAAAUGCAUAGAUAUCACGAAGAACCCCGAUUGCGAAGGCAGCCUGCUAGGCCGCAACUGACGUUGAUGCUCGAAAGUGCGGGUAUCAAACAGG